RNAcentral lists this long non-coding RNA (350 nucleotides) under Acromyrmex echinatior (Panamanian leafcutter ant). RNAcentral describes it as "uncharacterized LOC105152789, transcript variant X2". Lineage: Eukaryota; Metazoa; Arthropoda; Insecta; Hymenoptera; Formicidae. The record is from RNAcentral.
AGCGAUUGUCAGAUCAAGAAGUCAGUGACGUGUGGAAUAUCUUCGCUUAUAAAUAAAGGUAAACUUCGGGGAAAAAAUUCCGAAUGUUGGAGAUCGUUCGCGGAUUCCCGAAUACUCUGCGCUUGUAAAACGGCGAAAGGAUAUCACUCCAAGCAGACGUGCGGAUCUCUUUCUUCCACGCAAUGUACACGCACUCUGCACGCACUCGCGCGCGUGUCGGACGGACGUUCCUCGCGUGCAGCUGCCACUUGAAGCGUGUACGACACGUUAAUCGUACCUGUUACGCCCGACGCGCGUCUACGGCGAUAUCAUCAAUAAACGUAGUGAACUGUCGCGUUAGAUUAGCUUUC